RNAcentral lists this transfer RNA (72 nucleotides) under Flavobacteriales bacterium. RNAcentral describes it as "tRNA-Thr". It matches the Rfam family "tRNA". Rfam says of the family: Transfer RNA (tRNA) molecules are approximately 80 nucleotides in length. The record is from RNAcentral. Lineage: Bacteria; Pseudomonadati; Bacteroidota; Flavobacteriia; Flavobacteriales.
GCCGGUGUAGCUCAGGGGUAGAGCAGCUGAUUUGUAAUCAGCAGGCCGUGGGUUCGAAUCCCUCCACCGGCU